AAAAUUUUUAACUUAAUAAGAAACAAAUCUUUAUUUGUGAACUUAAACUGAAAUAUCAAAAAUUAAAGUAUUAUUUUAAGAAAUUUAUGAUAUAAUUAAAAGUACCGCGAGGGAAUAAAAACUUUAUUAAUAAAAAAAAAGAAGCUAAUGAGGUUUACCUUUUGUAUUAUGGUUAUUCAAAAAUCUUAAGCUUAUAGCUUUUUAAACGAAACAAGUUGAGCUAUUUGUUACUUUAAUCCGUAGUUAAUAAACUUGAUUGUAGUAAAAAUUAAAGUAAAAGUAAUAAAUAGGUGCGAAAUACUUACCGUAACUUGUGAUAGCUUUUUUUUAGGGAAAUAGGUAAAAGCCUUCAAAUAAUUUUUUUGGGAGACCAUAGAGGUUGAUCUCUAUGGUCUUAGGGAGAAACAUAAGGAUUAAUUAGGAUCAUUAACCAUAUAUAGUUAAAAGUAAAGUAGGGUUUAAGUACUCAUUUUUAUAAGUGUUAUUUGUACUUAAUUUUUAUUAAAAAUAUAAUUAUUGUAAGAGUUUUCGAAAUUGCUGUUAAAUACCUAAAUAUUCUUAAUAAGGAAAAAUUAAUGAUUAAAUUAGUAAGUUUCUUAUUUUUUAAAGAUAUAUACCUCAGCUUAAGUUAAUAAAAAAAGCUUUUAUAGGUUUUCUUAUUAAAGAUAAAAGAAAUUAAAAUGAACUAAGAAAAAGGAACUCGGCAAAUACUUUCUGCGCCUGUUUACCAAAAACAUCGCUUUUAGAAAAGAUUAAAAGUCCUGCCUGCCCGGUGACAUAAAGUUAAACGGCUGCAGUACUCUGACUGUGCAAAGGUAGCAUAAUCAUUUGCCUAUUAAUUGUAGGCUAGUAUCAACGGCUAGACGAUGGAAAGCCUGUCUCUUUCUUAGUAAAUUGAAGUUAACGUUAGGGUGAAGAGACCCUCAUGAAUAAGUGGGACGAGAAGACCCCAUAGAGCUUUAUUUUGAUAUAAUAAGAAUUAUAAAAAGAUUUAGUUGGGGCAACUGUUUUUCUUAUUAGACAAAAGGACUAAAUUUUGGUUUGAGCCUAAUAAACUGACCCAAAAUAUUUUGUAAAUAGAUAAGCUACCUUGGGGAUAACAGCGUAAUUUCAUUUGAGAGUACACAUUGACAAUGAAGUUUGCGACCUCGAUGUUGGAUCAGGCUGUCCUGGAAGUGCAGCAGUUUCCUAGGGUUGAUUUGUUCAAUCAUUAAAAGCCUACGUGACCUGAGUUCAGUCCGUCGUAAGACAGGACAGUUUCUAUCUACUAUUAAAUCUUUUUUUGUACGAAAGGAAUUAAAAGACUAAAAUUAAGAUUAAAGUCUAUUUUAUAUAAACAUUAGAAAUCAUAAUAUA
This 1356-nucleotide ribosomal RNA is filed under the name Amphiura sinicola. RNAcentral's name for it is "16S ribosomal RNA". The stretch from base 933 to 1269 matches the Rfam family "Bacterial large subunit ribosomal RNA", at positions 2074 to 2646 of the family's 2925-position model. Lineage: Eukaryota; Metazoa; Echinodermata; Ophiuroidea; Amphilepidida; Amphiuridae. The record is from RNAcentral.